This 648-nucleotide ribosomal RNA is filed under the name uncultured Actinomycetes bacterium. RNAcentral's name for it is "bacterial SSU rRNA". It matches the Rfam family "Bacterial small subunit ribosomal RNA", at positions 95 to 758 of the family's 1533-position model. Lineage: Bacteria; Bacillati; Actinomycetota; Actinomycetes. The record is from RNAcentral.
GCGGCGAACGGGUGAGGAACACGUGAAGAAUCUGCCUUCAACUCUGGGAUAACUCCGGGAAACCGGGGCUAAUACCGGAUAUGAGCCUUGAUCGCAUGAUCGGGGCUAGAAAGUUUUUCGGUUGAAGAUGACUUCGCGGCCUAUCAGCUUGUUGGUGAGGUAAUGGCUCACCAAGGCGACGACGGGUAGCCGGCCUGAGAGGGCGACCGGCCACACUGGGACUGAGACACGGCCCAGACUCCUACGGGAGGCAGCAGUGGGGAAUAUUGGGCAAUGGAGGAAACUCUGACCCAGCGACGCCGCGUGAGGGAUGAAGGCCUUCGGGUUGUAAACCUCUUUCAGUAGGGAAGAAGCGAAAGUGACGGUACCUACAGAAGAAGCACCGGCUAACUAUGUGCCAGCAGCCGCGGUAAUACAUAGGGUGCAAGCGUUGUCCGGAAUUAUUGGGCGUAAAGAGCUCGUAGGUGGUUCGAUACGUCGGAUGUGAAAAUCAGGGGCUCAACCCCUGACCUGCAUCCGAUACGGUCGAGCUAGAGUUUGGUAGGGGAGACUGGAAUUCCUGGUGUAGCGGUGGAAUGCGCAGAUAUCAGGAGGAACACCGAUGGCGAAGGCAGGUCUCUGGGCCAAUACUGACACUGAGGAGCGAAA